This 253-nucleotide ribosomal RNA is filed under the name uncultured bacterium. RNAcentral's name for it is "partial 16S ribosomal RNA". It matches the Rfam family "Bacterial small subunit ribosomal RNA", at positions 524 to 776 of the family's 1533-position model. The record is from RNAcentral.
UACGUAGGGUGCAAGCGUUGUUCGGAAUUAUUGGGCGUAAAGAGCUCGUAGGCGGUUUGUCGCGUCUGCUGUGAAAACUCGGGGCUUAACCCCGGGCCUGCAGUGGGUACGGGCAGACUAGAGUGCGGUAGGGGAGACUGGAAUUCCUGGUGUAGCGGUGAAAUGCGCAGAUAUCAGGAGGAACACCGGUGGCGAAGGCGGGUCUCUGGGCCGUAACUGACGCUGAGGAGCGAAAGCAUGGGGAGCGAACAGG